UGUGUUCCAGUCUCCCCUCCUUGGGUGGGCAGUGGAGGAAAGAAGCUCACAGUGGAAUCUGACUACGUUAUGCUAAGGGAAGGGAGACGGCGCCGUUGGCUCGACUACGGCUUCUCGUGUGCAAGCUGGACUCCCAGCAACAGCAAGAAACCCAAGCAGAUGAUGCACGUGGCCGCAAGGCGCACCAAGCUGAAGAUCACCUGGUGUUUCAGGACAUCUACAGCUACAAUACAUACCCGGACACCCAUGAAGCGGUCCUUGAGGACAAUCCAGGACAAGAGAAAAACGAAGGCUUUGUGGCAACAGUAAAGAGCGGAGACAUCAGUGGCGGUCAGCUUCUUCAAGGCCAAGAGAUACAAAU
This is a long non-coding RNA of Hippocampus zosterae (dwarf seahorse), 361 nucleotides long. RefSeq lists it as uncharacterized. The record is from RefSeq and is a predicted model, not a curated record. The transcript is spliced from 3 exons. NCBI's taxonomy places the organism in Eukaryota, Metazoa, Chordata, Actinopteri, Syngnathiformes, Syngnathidae.